AGAAUCAACGCUGGCGGCGUGCCUAACACAUGCAAGUCGCACGAGAAAGGGGAGCAAUCCCUGAGUAAAGUGGCGCACGGGUGAGUAACACGUGAAUGAUCUACCUCCGAGUGGGGAAUAACCAAAGAAAUUUGGCUAAUACCGCAUAACACUUACGAGUCAAGGCAGCAAUGCGCUUGGAGAGGAGUUCGCGGCAGAUUAGCUAGUUGGCGGGGUAAUGGCCCACCAAGGCGAUGAUCUGUA
Molecule: ribosomal RNA, 243 nt
Filed under: uncultured bacterium
Lineage: Bacteria
Description: partial small subunit ribosomal RNA
Rfam family: Bacterial small subunit ribosomal RNA
Source: RNAcentral